CAACGAAGAUGGCGACCGGCGCACGGGUGAGUAACACGUAUCCAACCUGCCUCAUACUCGGGGAUAGCCUUUCGAAAGAAAGAUUAAUAUCCGAUAGCAUAUAUUUCCCGCAUGGGUUUUAUAUUAAAGAAAUUCGGUAUGAGAUGGGGAUGCGUUCCAUUAGUUUGUUGGGGGGUAACGGCCCACCAAGACUACGAUGGAUAGGGGUUCUGAGAGGAAGGUCCCCCACAUUGGAACUGAGACACGGUCCAA
RNAcentral lists this ribosomal RNA (252 nucleotides) under uncultured bacterium. RNAcentral's name for it is "partial 16S ribosomal RNA". It matches the Rfam family "Bacterial small subunit ribosomal RNA", at positions 80 to 334 of the family's 1533-position model. The record is from RNAcentral.